This 206-nucleotide ribosomal RNA is filed under the name uncultured eukaryote. RNAcentral describes it as "partial 18S ribosomal RNA". It matches the Rfam family "Eukaryotic small subunit ribosomal RNA", at positions 1299 to 1458 of the family's 1831-position model. The record is from RNAcentral.
UGGUGUUGUGAAAUGUCAGCUUAAUUGCGGUAACGAACGAGACCUGGACGUACUAACUAGACACGGGAGACUUGCUACUCAGCACGUGGUUGGAGGCGUGUGGUCCUUGCGGCUGUGCGUUGAAGGCUGCGUGUGGUUUGUCUUCUUGCCCGUCUUCUUAGAGGGACUGCAGGGUUUCAACCCUGAGGAAGGUCCAGGCAAUAACA